AGUUUGAAUCUAUCAUACUUCAUGUUGAAAUAGAUCUUAAUGAAUACAAUUUGUUUUUCAAUGUAUGACAAUUAUCCCUCUUAUAACCUAUUACUCAUAUUUGUUUGAUAGUUUCACAAUUUAAUUUGAGAUUUGUUUUUGUAUAAAUAUCAUUCAAAUAUAAAUAGACAUAAUUUCAAAUUAUAUAUUAUCAUAUUUUAGUUUUCUUAGAUUUAUCUUUAUCAUUUUAGAUAUUUAUAAUAGGAAAUAUUGCAUUAAUAAUAAUAAACAUUUAAUUUAUGUGUAUUUUAACUAAUAAAAAAAGUUGAUAAAGUUUUUGAAACUAAUAGAAGUAGUUGAUAGACUUUGACCAAUAAUUAAAUACUUAUGUAAAGAACUACAUUUAUGACUUUUGGGAACUCUGAACUCUGACAGACUUAGUUAAAAGAGCAUGUUAUAUAUAUAUUUUUUUUUAUUGAAAAAGACAUAACAUCAGGAGUAUUUUCACUAUAGACAACUGUUUUGUUUGUAGGUCUAUAAUAGAUUUUUUACAGUAAAGCAUAAGAAUAGAUAUGUUUGAACAAAUAAGAAAGGAAGUGGAAAUUGAGAGACCAAUCAUGUCAAUGUCUCAACAACUAGACUUCAUGUAGUUACACUCUCAACUAGCAAAAAGACUUCUAGUUCGGUUCAAACAUAACUAGAGUGAUCUCAUUCUCUUGUCAUCAACUCUUCCCCUUGUUUGGUAUAUGGCUAAGGAUAUGGAUUGGGAAUUUCUUUUUU
This 759-nucleotide small RNA is filed under the name Arabidopsis thaliana (thale cress). RNAcentral describes it as "ATSL009230". Lineage: Eukaryota; Viridiplantae; Streptophyta; Magnoliopsida; Brassicales; Brassicaceae. The record is from RNAcentral.